This 77-nucleotide transfer RNA is filed under the name Thermotogota bacterium. RNAcentral describes it as "Thermotogae bacterium tRNA-Thr". It matches the Rfam family "tRNA". Rfam says of the family: Transfer RNA (tRNA) molecules are approximately 80 nucleotides in length. Their secondary structure includes four short double-helical elements and three loops (D, anti-codon, and T loops). The record is from RNAcentral. RNAcentral also lists the same sequence under 2 other names. Lineage: Bacteria; Thermotogati; Thermotogota.
GCAGGUGUAGCUUCAACCGGCAGAGCGCCGCCUUGGUAAGGCGGAGGUCGUGGGUUCAAGUCCCACCACCUGCUCCA